GCCGGAGUGGUGGAACUGGUAGACACGCGGCACUUAGGAUGCCGUGCUUCGGCGUGGGGGUUCGAGUCCCCCCUCUGGCA
RNAcentral lists this transfer RNA (80 nucleotides) under Knoellia terrae. RNAcentral's name for it is "tRNA-Leu". It matches the Rfam family "tRNA". From Rfam's summary of the family: Transfer RNA (tRNA) molecules are approximately 80 nucleotides in length. Their secondary structure includes four short double-helical elements and three loops (D, anti-codon, and T loops). The record is from RNAcentral. Lineage: Bacteria; Bacillati; Actinomycetota; Actinomycetes; Micrococcales; Intrasporangiaceae.